RNAcentral lists this ribosomal RNA (253 nucleotides) under uncultured bacterium. RNAcentral's name for it is "partial 16S ribosomal RNA". It matches the Rfam family "Bacterial small subunit ribosomal RNA", at positions 524 to 776 of the family's 1533-position model. The record is from RNAcentral.
UACGGGGGGGGCAAGCGUUGUUCGGAAUUACUGGGCGUAAAGGGCUCGUAGGUGGCCAACUAAGUCAGACGUGAAAUCCCUCGGCUUAACCGGGGAACUGCGUCUGAUACUGGAUGGCUAGAGUGUGGGAGAGGGAUGCGGAAUUCCAGGUGUAGCGGUGAAAUGCGUAGAUAUCUGGAGGAAUACCGGUGGCGAAGGCGGCAUCCUGGACCGACAUUGACGCUGAGGAGCGAAAGCUAGGGGAGCAAACGGG